AUUGAACGCUGGCGGCAUGCCUUACACAUGCAAGUCGAACGGUAACGCGGGGCAACCUGGCGACGAGUGGCGAACGGGUGAGUAAUAUAUCGGAACGUGCCCAGUCGUGGGGGAUAACUGCUCGAAAGAGCAGCUAAUACCGCAUACGACCUGAGGGUGAAAGCGGGGGACCUUCGGACCUCGCGCGAUUGGAGCGGCCGAUAUCAGAUUAGGUAGUUGGUGGGGUAAAGGCCUACCAAGCCGACGAUCUGUAGCUGGUCUGAGAGGACGACCAGCCACACUGGGACUGAGACACGGCCCCAGACUCCUACGGGAGGCAGCAGUGGGGAAUAUUGGACAAUGGGCGCAAGCCUGAUCCAGCCAUACCGCGUGGGUGAAGAAGGCC
RNAcentral lists this ribosomal RNA (385 nucleotides) under uncultured bacterium. Its description in RNAcentral is "bacterial SSU rRNA". It matches the Rfam family "Bacterial small subunit ribosomal RNA", at positions 29 to 416 of the family's 1533-position model. The record is from RNAcentral.